AAGGAAAAAUUGAGAACUAAUCUCUAACACCUUCUGUGAAUUCACUGCAGAAAUGGUCCACAACCUCCUCAACCUGCCUAUCACCAACCACUAUGUGUUUCAUUAUAUUAUCAUCAACUGACAACUUUUCUUGUCUACCCAUGGCAAC
Molecule: long non-coding RNA, 148 nt
Organism: Nilaparvata lugens (brown planthopper)
Lineage: Eukaryota; Metazoa; Arthropoda; Insecta; Hemiptera; Delphacidae
Exons: 4
Source: RefSeq, a predicted model, not a curated record